Molecule: ribosomal RNA, 449 nt
Filed under: uncultured bacterium
Lineage: Bacteria
Description: partial 16S ribosomal RNA
Rfam family: Bacterial small subunit ribosomal RNA
Source: RNAcentral
AGCGAACGCUGGCGGCAGGCCUAACACAUGCAAGUCGAACGGAUCCUUCGGGAUUAGUGGCGGACGGGUGAGUAACACGUGGGAACGUGCCCUUUGGCUCGGAACAACUCAGGGAAACUUAAGCUAAUACCGGAUGUGCCCUUCGGGGGAAAGAUUUAUCGCCAUUGGAGCGGCCCGCGUCUGAUUAGCUAGUUGGUGAGGUAAAGGCUCACCAAGGCGACGAUCAGUAGCUGGUCUGAGAGGAUGAUCAGCCACAUUGGGACUGAGACACGGCCCAAACUCCUACGGGAGGCAGCAGUGGGGAAUCUUGCGCAAUGGGCGAAAGCCUGACGCAGCCAUGCCGCGUGAAUGAUGAAGGUCUUAGGAUUGUAAAAUUCUUUCACCGGGGACGAUAAUGACGGUACCCGGAGAAGAAGCCCCGGCUAACUUCGUGCCAGCCGCCGCAGUAA